Molecule: ribosomal RNA, 274 nt
Filed under: uncultured bacterium
Lineage: Bacteria
Description: partial 16S ribosomal RNA
Rfam family: Bacterial small subunit ribosomal RNA
Source: RNAcentral
AUACGGAGGGCGCAAGCGUUGUUCGGAAUCAUUGGGCGUAAAGCGCGCGUAGGCGGCUAGGUAAGUCGGGUGUGAAAUCCCGGGGCUCAACCCCGGAACUGCACUCGAAACUGCCUGGCUAGAGUCUCGGAGAGGUAGGCGGAAUUCCCGGUGUAGAGGUGAAAUUCGUAGAUAUCGGGAGGAACACCAGUGGCGAAGGCGGCCUACUGGACGAUGACUGACGCUGAGGUGCGAAAGCGUGGGGAGCAAACAGGAUUAGAUACCCCGGUAGUCC